GCUCGGGUGGUGGAACCGGCAGACACGCUAGACUUAGGAUCUAGUGCCGCAAGGCGUGGGGGUUCGAAUCCCCCUUCGAGCA
Molecule: transfer RNA, 82 nt
Filed under: Puniceicoccales bacterium
Lineage: Bacteria; Pseudomonadati; Verrucomicrobiota; Opitutia; Puniceicoccales
Description: tRNA-Leu
Rfam family: tRNA
About the family: Transfer RNA (tRNA) molecules are approximately 80 nucleotides in length. Their secondary structure includes four short double-helical elements and three loops (D, anti-codon, and T loops).
Source: RNAcentral